This 301-nucleotide ribosomal RNA is filed under the name uncultured bacterium. RNAcentral's name for it is "partial 16S ribosomal RNA". It matches the Rfam family "Bacterial small subunit ribosomal RNA", at positions 509 to 807 of the family's 1533-position model. The record is from RNAcentral.
CAGCAGCCGCGGGAAUCCGUAGGUGGCAAGCGUUGCCCGGAAUUAUUGGGCGUAAAGGGCUCGCAGGCAGUUUCUUAAGUCUGAUGUGAAAGCCCCCGGCUCAACCGGGGAGGGUCAUUGGAAACUGGGAAACUUGAGUGCAGAAGAGGAGAGUGGAAUUCCACGUGUAGCGGUGAAAUGCGUAGAGAUGUGGAGGAACACCAGUGGCGAAGGCGACUCUCUGGUCUGUAACUGACGCUGAGGAGCGAAAGCGUGGGGAGCGAACAGGAUUAGAUACCCGAGUAGUCCCUGUCUCUUAUAC